This 326-nucleotide ribosomal RNA is filed under the name uncultured eukaryote. RNAcentral describes it as "partial 18S ribosomal RNA". It matches the Rfam family "Eukaryotic small subunit ribosomal RNA", at positions 1470 to 1796 of the family's 1831-position model. The record is from RNAcentral.
CCCUUAGAUGUUCUGGGCCGCACGCGUGCUACACUGAUGCAUUCAACGAGCACUAACCUGUGCAGAAAUGUUCGGGUAAUCUUGUGAAAUUUCAUCGUGAUGGGGAUUGAUUAUUGCAAUUAUUAAUCAUAAACGAGGAAUGCCUAGUAAGCGUGAGUCAUCAGCUCACGUUGAUUACGUCCCUGCCCUUUGUACACACCGCCCGUCGCUCCUACCGAUUGAAUGUGCUGGUGAAAAGUUCGGAUUGGGAAUAGGAGACGGCAACGUAUCCUGUUUCUGAGAAAAUCUUUAAACCCUCCCAUUUAGAGGAAGGAGAAGUCGUAACA